This is a transfer RNA of Puccinia sorghi, 115 nucleotides long. It matches the Rfam family "tRNA". Rfam says of the family: Transfer RNA (tRNA) molecules are approximately 80 nucleotides in length. Their secondary structure includes four short double-helical elements and three loops (D, anti-codon, and T loops). Further hydrogen bonds mediate the characteristic L-shaped molecular structure. tRNAs have two regions of fundamental functional importance: the anti-codon, which is responsible for specific mRNA codon recognition, and the 3' end, to which the tRNAs corresponding amino acid is attached (by aminoacyl-tRNA synthetases). tRNAs cope with the degeneracy of the genetic code in two manners: having more than one tRNA (with a specific anti-codon) for a particular amino acid; and 'wobble' base-pairing, i.e. permitting non-standard base-pairing at the 3rd anti-codon position. The record is from Rfam. NCBI's taxonomy places the organism in Eukaryota, Fungi, Basidiomycota, Pucciniomycetes, Pucciniales, Pucciniaceae.
GGCGACAUGGCCGAGUGGUCUAAGGCGCCGUCUUAAGGAACUCUCCUUCAUUGUGCUUGAUGCAGGCGAGUAAUCCGGCGGUCUUCGGGCGUGGGUUCGAAUCCCACUGUCGUCA